CGUCUAUAUACGUAUAGCAUAUCAAUAAGCGGAGGAAAAGAAACUAACUAGGAUUCCCUCAGUAACGGCGAGUGAAGCGGGAAGAGCUCAAAUUUGAAAUCUUCAAGGUUCUACCUUGACGAAUUGUAGUUUAAAGAAGUGUUUUCUGUUGGAGUUUUGGUAAAAGUUCUUUGGAAUAGGACAUCAUAGAGGGUGAGAAUCCCGUAUUUGACCAUUAUUUCCAACUUUGUGAUACACUUUCAAAGAGUCGGAUUGUUUGGGAAUGCAGUCCAAAAUGGGUGGUAAAUUUCAUCUAAAGCUAAAUACUGGCGAGAGACCGAUAGCGAACAAGUACCGUGAGGGAAAGAUGAAAAGAACUUUGAAAAGAGAGUUAAACAGUACGUGAAAUUGUCAAAAGGGAAGCGUUUGACACCAGUGUUGUUUUCUCGAAAAUCAAUUAAAAAUGGCGGGAUUUUGUGUUGUAUUGACUUUAUCAGCUUUCUGCACUUUUUUCCUGUCUUUUUUAAUGCACUUUUCGUUUAACAAGUCAACAUCAAUUUCUUUUGCUGUAAAAGAGUCAUUGGAAGGUGGCUUUUCUUUCGGAGAAAAGUGUUUAUAGCCUUUGGACUUCUGCAAUCGGAGAGAUUGAGGUCUGCAGCGUAGAUCCUUCGGGGUUAGAUACAUUUGUGCUAAGCUAUAGCCUUUCAUAGACAACUUGUUGACUAUGAUCAGUCAUGUAGCUUACUCGCUUAUGCUAUUUUACCUACGCUUAGGAUGUUGAUCUGUAGUGCGUGCGC
This 776-nucleotide ribosomal RNA is filed under the name uncultured Neocallimastigales. Its description in RNAcentral is "partial large subunit ribosomal RNA". It matches the Rfam family "Eukaryotic large subunit ribosomal RNA", at positions 26 to 632 of the family's 3401-position model. Lineage: Eukaryota; Fungi; Neocallimastigomycota; Neocallimastigomycetes; Neocallimastigales. The record is from RNAcentral.